Long non-coding RNA from Eriocheir sinensis (Chinese mitten crab), 1958 nucleotides. RefSeq lists it as uncharacterized. NCBI's taxonomy places the organism in Eukaryota, Metazoa, Arthropoda, Malacostraca, Decapoda, Varunidae. The record is from RefSeq and is a predicted model, not a curated record. The transcript is spliced from 8 exons.
AGAGUAUAGAGGACGCUGGGACAAAGUGUUUCCCUCAAGUUGAUGUUUACAAGUUGAUAAAAGUCAAGAGACGAGCAAUACUUAUCAAAAUAAAUAAAAUGAAACACAAAUUAGCCCCCAAAAAACACUAAUGACGUUUUAUUCAUAAUUUUGCGCCAUUAGAGCGAAUGCCGGGAAAUCCAAUAUCCCCUUAAAACACAUGAAAACACUUUUGUAAGACAAUUUAAACCCGUAAAAACAGUAACCACAUUUUCAUCAAGUAUUCUCCGCCAUUAAAACACAAUUAAAAAAAUAAAUAAGGAAAUAACACUAUGCAGGUCAAAGAAGAAGAAGAGGAAGACAAGAUGGCCGCCGACCUCUGCCCCAGCCGAGCCAGUCCACACUUUUUCGCCAUUCCAAGCCUUGUGGAGGGUGUGAGGUCUGUUAGGAAGUGACAAUCGUUCUCUCAGCCUUUCGACACCACAAGCAGCCGCCGGGAACCCUGCUGGACAUACGGGGAAGGUCCCUGAUGCCUGGGGGCAGACUCCUGGCUGGUGGCUGUCCUCCUCACACCUCCUGCCUCCACAUGUCUUCUCAAAGGUCUUUUUGGUGGUCGGGCUGUGAGUCUCCCAGCCUUGCCGAUGGAAGACUCUCCUCCCUGGCCUUCCUCCUCCUUCAGGUCUUCCAGCUGGUCUCCUCCCGUGUACCUCCACAACUCCUCUGGAAGGUGGAGAGGGAGGAGUGCGGACAAUAACGCUGCCUGUUCAGUGUGGGCCCCAAACACCUAGAUGCCAAGGAAGAGAACAUGAAGGUGACGGCAAUGAGAGAGGAGGAGGCAGAGGACGAGGGAAUGAUUUAAAUGCUGCGGAAGAGAGCUGUCUGGGAACUGGCUUGAAGAGAGAUAAGAAGAAGAAGAGGAAGAGGAGGAAGAAGAACAAGAGGAGGAGAAGGAUGAAGGGGGAACACAGGAAACAAUUGGUCCCUGCUUUCCCCUGACGGUGGUGGUCUCCUUGCUCCCGGGUGGUUGUCUUCACAUUUUUCUGCCUCCGCCUCCACAGUGCUUCCCAAAGUCCACCUCCAGUCAGCCUGAUCAUCCCUGGGGAGCCUGACUGCUCCAUCAUCUUCAGUCACCCAGGAUGUGAAGAACAAACUACAGAGCAUGUGGUGUGUGCUGGGAUGCCUUGCAGGAGAUCACGCUGGGAUACGAAGCCGCCCCUCGAGAGAUGGAGUCCACUCAACCGCUCGAUUCUGCCGAGAGAAAAGAAUCGUUCAACUCUGAAGACUGCCACGGAUUCUUAUGUAUUAGCUAGCGAGAUGUGAACUUUCUAUCUCGUGAAAAUAAAGUUCAGGGACGAAUCUUGUGUUUUAUUUUACAAAUAACCAUUGUGCUAAAUCUCCGGACGCCCGAAGAAGUAUAAUGGACUUAGUACAGAUUUUCAAGCUAUUUUUACUGCUAGUUAUGGCAAAUUUUGUUCAUUUUAAAGCCAUUUUUCAUGUAUUUUUUGGCUAUAAACUGAAUUUUUUUUUGUUUUGAUAAUUUUAAAAUUUAAGCAAGGAGAAACUAAUUUAAACCACAAAAAUCAACUUAUUAUAUAAAAUAAGUAUAACUAACUAAUACAAGGAAAGAAACAUUAGAAAUAUAAGCUUAUGAGAGAGGAAGAUGAAGGGAACUUAUUAAGAGGAGAGAUUGCAUACACAGGUCAAAAUAGUUAAGCAACGGAAAUGAAGGGAACACAAGAACAUUAAACAAGACGUAAAUCAGACAUCUAUAAAAAUAAGAGUACUCGAGAGCAGAGAAAGACAUUAAAGAUUGCAUAUACAUAACGAGGUCAAAAAAGUUCAAGAAAAAGCCGUAGAAAUGAAGGGAAAUCAUUACCUUACAAGACAAAGCCAUAACACAACAGACAGACAUCUAGAAAAAGACAACUCAAAAUCAGAGAAAAUCACAGAAACGAGAAGAAAGGUUACAAGAGAGAGAG